RNAcentral lists this transfer RNA (66 nucleotides) under Sphaerodactylus glaucus. RNAcentral's name for it is "tRNA-Trp". Lineage: Eukaryota; Metazoa; Chordata; Lepidosauria; Squamata; Sphaerodactylidae. The record is from RNAcentral.
GAGGACUUAGGUUAAACCAAACCACAUGUCUUCANAACAUGAAAUAUGACCAACUCAUAGCCCUCG